RNAcentral lists this unclassified non-coding RNA (301 nucleotides) under fungal sp. RNAcentral's name for it is "partial internal transcribed spacer region". The stretch from base 1 to 66 matches the Rfam family "Eukaryotic small subunit ribosomal RNA", at positions 1766 to 1831 of the family's 1831-position model. The record is from RNAcentral. Lineage: Eukaryota; Fungi.
CUUGGUUUUAGAGGAAGGAGAAGUCGUAACAAGGUUUCCGUAGGUGAACCUGCGGAAGGAUCAUUGUCGUGACCCUAAACAAAACAGACUGUGAACCUGUCAUCAAAGUCGUCGGGCUUCGGCUCGACUAAGGCCCUUGACUUCGUCCUGGAGGAGAGGGCCGCAAAAGAACCCACGGCGCCAAAGGCGUCAAGGAACACUUAUUGCCUUGCUCGGGGAUGUGGUCGGCCUGCCGGCCGCACCCCGUGCAGCGAUGCUAUGUUAACCAAAACGACUCUCGGCAACGGAUAUCUCGGCUCUC